This 2964-nucleotide long non-coding RNA is filed under the name Heterocephalus glaber (naked mole-rat). Its description in RNAcentral is "lncRNA (ENSHGLG00100042247.1)". Lineage: Eukaryota; Metazoa; Chordata; Mammalia; Rodentia; Bathyergidae. The record is from RNAcentral.
GGCCACUCUGAAUGUGGGUGGAGAGACAGCCUGGCCUGCUUGGUGAGUAGGAGGGACAUCCUGGGGGAGAGCUGGGGCCAUUUUCCCUCUGGGUUCCUCUGGGUUCUGCCUUCUGGAAGUUUCUGGACACCUCGGGGCCCCAAGAAUGUGCAAGGAAGCUAGGAAAGACAGCUGCUGUCAGCCAGGCAGUGGGCAAUACAGAACAGAAGCCAGCAUGUGCAGAUAGGCUUGUAUUGGGGAGUCUUUGCAUAUGGGCUCUACUUUUUUUUUCUAGUUGUUUUUUGUUGUUGUUGCUGUUGUUUUUUUGGGACAGGGUCUUUCUGUGUAGUCCAGGUUGAUCUUGAACUCACUAUGUAAUCCAGGCUGGCCUUGAACUCAUGGUGAUCCUCCUGUCUCAGCCUCCCAAGUGCUGGGAUUAUAGGUGUGCACCACCACACCUGGUAAUGAGCCCUACUUCUGUCCUCUUGGUCCAGGGGUCUUUACUGAAGUUAGCCAUAGGUAAAUGGCCAAAGGACAUGGCCCUGGAGGCCAGGGGCUACAGCUGACAAGACCAGGGAGGUGUGGGGAUCCUGUUCCCUGGGAGCCAGGGCCUCCUGUUUCCCAUUGACUUUUCUGCAUGUGUGCAUGUGUGUGCACACAUGAUACAGGAGUGCCUCGCCUCUGGGGGCCCAGCUGGUGAAGACCCUGCAUGUACCUCCUGCCUGGAGCAGUGGCUCUGCAGAGCACCGUGCUGCCUUUCCCUUGAGGGUGCAGAGGACUCUGUGGGGCCCUGGAUCCUUCUGGGAGGCGUGAGGAGGCCCUGCUGGAACUCUCAAGAAGCAUCCCUGUCUGCCCGGGCAGUGAGGCUGGGGUGGUCCAGGGCAUUGUGAUCAGAGAUCCACCCUGCAGAGCUACAUUCCAGGGCCCGAGUCCUGAUCCUGCCUCCUCCUAGCUGUAUGUCAGGACCAUAAGCUUCUCUGAGCCUCAGUCAUCCUGUCUGUAAAAUGAGGCAGCUUCUACCCCACUGGGCUCAGGGGAAAUGAGCUGGUCCUCUGAGGAGCCCAGCGUGGUGCCUCUGCCUGGCACAUGCUAUGGGAAAGCUGGCCUGGGAAAGGCCUCAGUACUCUCCUCCCCCCACCCCAGGGGAGAUCCUGGGGCCCCCUUGCUGGUGUCACUGAGCGACAGUUAUGCUUUGUCCCAUUCUUCACUCUUUAUUACAUCCUUCAUGCAGAUGUGGCCAGCUGGCACUCUGGGAACUCAUUGGCAGGUGGGUGGGUGAAGACAGUAUGUGGCUGUGACCAUGGGUCAGGGAGUCACUGGGUCUUGGGCCGGCCCUGCGCCCUGGAAGGAGUGUCAGGGUGGAGGUGGGGAAGAACUGCAGGCAGGGCACGUAGCCAAGCUGAGGGUAGCCAUGGGCCAAAGUGGCUGGGCCAGGCUGCCACAGGCCAGGGAUGACACUGAGGGGUCGAGACUUUUGUUGUUUGUGCUGAGCCAGGAGAGGUGGCAGUCAGCUCCGAGCCCUGGGCCCAGUGGGCAGUGGUUGGAGAGCAUUGAGAGGUGCCUUCUGACCUGGCAGCCAUGGAGCUUGGGGACGUCAGGGUGGUGACAGUGCACGGGGCAGAUUCCUGCCAUUUCUGUGCUAGAGGGGGCUCCUGACUGUGAGGAGUACCAGGGGAGGGCAGCCCUGGGGCCCUGGAAUUGGAGGCCUUCCUUAAGUACCUCUGUUCUCUCCAGAAGGUACCUCCUCUUCCUCCUCACUGAAUUGUGAGCUUGUAGGAGGCUAGAGUCGUGUGGAUGUCAGGACGGAGGGCGCUGGUGUGCUGUGUGUUGCUUUCUUUACUGCCCUGUUCAGGAAUGACAGUGCAGGGUGUGUCACAGAGUGCUGAGUGACCUCUGACCCUUGACCUUUUCCCAUCCUUCGAACUCCGGAGAUCCUGCCACCUGCUCAGGACUGAGCCUCCUGAGCAUAUGGUGGGGGUGGGCUGGGCAGUGACAGCCAUAUCAGACACCUGGGCUUUAGUGGGGCCAGUGAGGACCACAACACCAGCUAGCAUACCCUGCACCUCCCCUGCCAGAGGGCUGACACCCACACAUUCUCCUACUCAUUCCCUCUUAAGGCAGAGCUGGGUUGGCUGGGCCAUUUGGGCUUCUUGUGGUGGGAUGAAGGGCAGAAGGUAAAACCACAGAGACUCAGCCCUGCACCUCCACUCUCCCGUGGUUUUGCUGUGUGACUCUGGGCUGGUCCUAUCCCUCUCUGGGUUUCUACUUCCCCCUCACCUGGAAUGGGGAGGGGACACCCAGACCAGAUUGUUCGGGGGUUCUCUGGGGGAAGAGAGGCAAGGAAAGAAGCAGGGAGGCAGGGAAGGAGAGGGCCCCAGGGUGGUCCACUCACUGGUUCUGCACAUCUUGGAGGGUGUCAGGCAGUGGCAAAUUCUGGGUCUCAGGUAGCAGCAGUGCAGCCAAGCCACCUAGCACUGGCACCACCCCAUACACCAGCAGGGGCAACCAGGGGUUGUGGAUGCCCAGCAGCCGGACCAGAGGCCCCAGCAUGGCUCCUCCACGGGCAGCCAUCUGGCCCAGGCCCACAGCUGUCAUCCUGCUGGGGCAGAUGCACCUGUGAAGAGUCGCUUCUCGGCCCUUGGCCUUCUACCAGGGUCCAGCCCCACUUGGUCCAGCGAGGCCCCAGGUAUCAGUCCUGGCUGGACAGACUUGGGUCACAUGGAAGGGAGACACCAUCUCAAGCAUCGGAGUCUAGGAGGCCCUGCCCCUCCCCGCCCCAGCCAGGGCAGCCUCACCUGAGCACAGUGGGGAAGAGCUCUCCACUGUAGACUGUGAUGCAGCUGAAGGCAGCCCCCAGUGACCCCAGCCCCAGAACAGCCAGGGCUGAACAUAGUGGCCCCAUCUCUGCGAACAGAGACAGGUCAGCAGGGUUGGCAUCCGGAGUCCCAGGGGCAGUGGGGGAUCCCUUUAUCCCAGGGGCUUCUC